Molecule: ribosomal RNA, 824 nt
Filed under: Serratia sp. (in: enterobacteria)
Lineage: Bacteria; Pseudomonadati; Pseudomonadota; Gammaproteobacteria; Enterobacterales; Yersiniaceae
Description: bacterial SSU rRNA
Rfam family: Bacterial small subunit ribosomal RNA
Source: RNAcentral
AAGCAGCACGCAGGCGGUUUGUCAAGUCAGAUGUGAAAUCCCGCAGCUCAACGUGGGGCUUGCAUUUGAUACUGGCAAGAUAGAGUCUUGUAGAGGGAGGUGGAAUUCAGGGUGUGCGGUGAAUGCGUAGAUAUCUGGAGGAACACCGGUGGCGAAGGCGGCCCCCUGGACAAAGACUGACGCUCAGGUGCGAAAGCGUGGGGAGCAAACAGGAUUAGAUACCCUGGUAGUCCACGCUGUAAACGAUGUCGACUUGGAGGUUGUGCCCUUGAGGCGUGGCUUGCGGAGCUAACGCGUUAAGUCGACCGCCUGGGGAGUACGGCCGCCAGGUUAAAACUCAAAUGAAUUGACGGGGGCCCGCACAAGCCGUGGAGCAUGUGGUUUAAUUCGAUGCCACGCGAAGAACCUUACCUAGUCUUGACAUCCUGAGAAAUAGCUAGAGAUAUGUUGCUGCCUUCGUGAACUCUGAGACAGGUGCUGCAUGGCUGUCGUCAGCUCGUGUUGUGAAAUGUUGGGUUAAGUCCCGCAACGAGCGCAACCCUUAUCCAUUUGUUGCCAGCGUUAUGGGGGGGGACUCCAAAGAGACUGCCGGGGGAAAAACGGAGGAAGGGGGGGACUACGUCCAGUCAUCAUGCCCCCUAACUAGAGGGCUUCACACAUGCUACAAAGGCCAGUACAGAGGGCUGCGCGACUGUCAGGAGCAGCCGAACCUUUUAAGCUGGUCUCAAGUUCGGAUUCGGAUCCGCCACUUCACCUCGUGGAGUUGGAAUUGCCUAGGUAUCGCUAGAAUCAACAAUUGCUAGCGGUGAAUACGUUCCCGGGCC